RNAcentral lists this ribosomal RNA (292 nucleotides) under uncultured bacterium. RNAcentral describes it as "partial 16S ribosomal RNA". It matches the Rfam family "Bacterial small subunit ribosomal RNA", at positions 505 to 796 of the family's 1533-position model. The record is from RNAcentral.
GUGCCAGCCGCCGCGGUAACACGUAAGGGGCGAGCGUUGUUCGGAAUUAUUGGGCGUAAAGGGCACGCAGGCGGUUAUACAAGUCCGAUGUUAAAGACCUGGGCUUAACUCAGGGGAUGCGUUGGAAACUGUAUGACUAGAAUCUUGGAGGGGGAGUCGGAAUUCCUAGUGUAGGGGUGAAAUCUGUUGAUAUUAGGAAGAACACCGGUGGCGAAGGCGGACUCCUGGCCGAAGAUUGACGCUGAGGUGCGAAAGCAUAGGGAGCAAACAGGAUUAGAAACCCGCGUAGUCC